RNAcentral lists this unclassified non-coding RNA (929 nucleotides) under Sipha flava (yellow sugarcane aphid). Its description in RNAcentral is "protein D3-like, transcript variant X2". The record is from RNAcentral. Lineage: Eukaryota; Metazoa; Arthropoda; Insecta; Hemiptera; Aphididae.
AUUAGGUCCUGCAGUAAACUUUACUUACAAAUAAUGUAAAGUAAAGUUAAAUGUAAAUUAUAUGUUUCAAGUUCUUUCUUAUUAGAAAAUGAUUAAGUAAUUUCCCGUGGCUGUCGCAGUGGGUCUUCAGCACUCAUAGUUCAGUCGUCUGAUUCGAUAAGACGGUUCUAGUCAAUGCGUUGUACAUCGUAUACAAGAAGAACAUGCAGUUCGUAAGAUUAUUUAUGGUGUCCUCCAUGUGUGUGGUGGCGGGCAGAUGCUUCACUCCGUAUACUCCGACCCAACAGAGUUUCAGACUUCAUAAGAUCGUGCCGGAUAUCAUCCCUGUCGGACCACCUAAUCAGUUGCGAGUGCUGUACCCAAGCGGCGUUAUGUUGACAAUUGGAGCAAAAACCAAGCCCUAUUACAUCGACGAACAACCAUCGAUAGUCGAAUAUAGGUGUCCAAAAAUAAGCUUCAACUUGUUGAUCAUGAUCGAUUUCGACGAACCGGCUUUCGGGCAUUACAGAGAAAGAGAACGUGUUCAUUGGCUGGUAGUGAACAUGGAGGCUGAUGACGUGAGUUCGGGCCAAACUCUCAUCGAGUACGGCAUGUUCCCUGUGAUGUUCGAAGGACCUCAUCGUUAUGCUUUCUUGAUGUACCAACAACCUUGGGUAUUCGGAUUUGACAUCCCAUACAUCGACGCCGAAACUAUUGAAGGUCGAAAUAAUUUUUCAAUAGCAGACUUUUCAACCAAAUACCAUUUAAAUAAUCCAUUAUGGGGUGCUAUAUGGAUUAAUACAUUCUAGCAAAAGAAGUUAGAGAGGAUCCUAAUAAUGUCCAUCAUAUUUAAUAUCAAAUCAAUGGGUAUUAUGAUCAUAAUUUGAACAUUAAUCAGCGUCGAAAAGAAUAUUGUAAUAUUAUGUCUAUUAAAUGGUCAUAUUAAUAUA